AUGCCCCUCAUUCGGAGAACUAUGGAAAAAGCAAUCCGGAACCAACACUUUAAUUUCGGGAGCCCUGGCUAAGCGGUGAGCAUACCCUCCAUGGCAUUUUCCGCAAUGCUAUGAAGAGGGGAGCCUAAAGUGGAUCAGAUGGGCGCCCACCUGGAGAACCAGGUUCAAUUGUAUGACCAUAGCGCGAAUGGGGGGUUUU
Molecule: non-coding RNA, 199 nt
Filed under: Acidobacteriota bacterium
Lineage: Bacteria; Pseudomonadati; Acidobacteriota
Description: Acidobacteria bacterium 6S RNA
Rfam family: 6S / SsrS RNA
About the family: E. coli 6S RNA was the first non coding RNA to be sequenced, but its function was unknown until recently.
Source: RNAcentral